Long non-coding RNA from Schistocerca piceifrons (Central American locust), 246 nucleotides. RefSeq lists it as uncharacterized. The record is from RefSeq and is a predicted model, not a curated record. NCBI's taxonomy places the organism in Eukaryota, Metazoa, Arthropoda, Insecta, Orthoptera, Acrididae. The transcript is spliced from 3 exons.
UUACGUUAACUUUGAUUUGAGCCUGACAAAGUAAUAUUUCAGAAUUAAAAACAUUUACAAUUUAUUUCAGCGAGUCUGGAGGACAGAUGGAAAGUAGUACUUUUGUCGACAAUUGGUACAUCAUUUGAUGCUCCUUCAUCUCUACACCAAAUUCAUCGAUCAUAGUGGGUAGCAGGUGACAGCUUGCGAGCCACAUACCAGCCUAUUAUCAGAUAUUAGUAGUAGGCAACCUUCAUAUGGCCCCAC